This 398-nucleotide RNase P RNA is filed under the name Mesorhizobium loti. Its description in RNAcentral is "RNase P RNA component class A". It matches the Rfam family "Bacterial RNase P class A". Rfam says of the family: Ribonuclease P (RNase P) is a ubiquitous endoribonuclease, found in archaea, bacteria and eukarya as well as chloroplasts and mitochondria. Its best characterised activity is the generation of mature 5'-ends of tRNAs by cleaving the 5'-leader elements of precursor-tRNAs. The record is from RNAcentral. Lineage: Bacteria; Pseudomonadati; Pseudomonadota; Alphaproteobacteria; Hyphomicrobiales; Phyllobacteriaceae.
CCAGCCGGCCGGGCGGCCGCACCAGCAAGAGUCGAAAGGCUGCGGGUGAGGAAAGUCCGGGCUCCAUGGAGACACGGUGCCGGCUAACGGCCGGCGGGGGCGACCCCAGGGAAAGUGCCACAGAAAGCAAACCGCCGCGGUUUUCCGCGGCAAGGGUGAAAGGGUGGGGUAAGAGCCCACCGCGCGGCCGGCAACGGAAGCGGCAAGGCAAACCCCACCGGGAGCAAAACCGAAUAGGGGCGGUAUGAGGGGAAACCUUCAGGGCUGUUUCCGGCUCACCGCCCGGGUAGGUUGCGUGAGGCGCAUGGCAACAUGCGCCCAAGAUGAAUGGCCGCCACGUUCCCGCUCCGCAAGGGGUGGGGGCCAUACAGAACCCGGCUUACAGGCCGGCUGGCAUU